CUCUUAUCGAGAGAGGUGGAGGGACUGGCCCGAUGAAGCCCGGCAACCUGCGAAAAGCAAGGUGCCAAAUCCUGCAGCGAAAGCUGGGAGAUGAGAG
Thermobrachium celere DSM 8682 is the source of this 97-nucleotide regulatory RNA element. It matches the Rfam family "SAM riboswitch aptamer (S box leader)". From Rfam's summary of the family: The SAM riboswitch is found upstream of a number of genes which code for proteins involved in methionine or cysteine biosynthesis in Gram-positive bacteria. The SAM riboswitch acts at the level of transcription termination control. The predicted structure consists of a complex stem-loop region followed by a single stem loop terminator region. The record is from Rfam. Lineage: Bacteria; Bacillati; Bacillota; Clostridia; Eubacteriales; Clostridiaceae.